GACGAACGCUGGCGGCGUGCUUAACACAUGCAAGUCGAACGAUGAAGCCGGAGCUUGCUCUGGUGAAUUAGUGGCGAACGGGUGAGUAACACGUGAGUAACCUGCCCUUGACUCUGGGAUAACUGCUAGAAAUGGUAGCUAAUACCGGAUACGACCCUCGGCGGCAUCGCCAGGGGGUGGAAAGAAUUUCGGUCAAGGAUGGACUCGCGGCCUAUCAGCUAGUUGGUGAGGUAACGGCUCACCAAGGCGACGACGGGUAGCCGGCCUGAGAGGGGGACCGGCCACACUGGGACUGAGACACGGCCCAGACUCCUACGGGAGGCAGCCGUGGGGAAUAUUGCACAAUGGGCGCAAGCCUGAUGCAGCAACGCCGCGUGAGGGAUGACGGCCUUCGGGUUGUAAACCUCUUUUAGUAGGGAAGAAGCGAAAGUGACGGUACCUGCAGAAAAAGCACCGGCUAACUACGUGCCAGCCGCCGCGGUAA
This 484-nucleotide ribosomal RNA is filed under the name uncultured bacterium. RNAcentral's name for it is "partial 16S ribosomal RNA". It matches the Rfam family "Bacterial small subunit ribosomal RNA", at positions 28 to 523 of the family's 1533-position model. The record is from RNAcentral.